UCGAGUGAAGAGACUAACCAUUGGAUACUGCACUGUGUAUGAGGUACAUAAAAUUGAUGACACUUCUGCUCCUGCUAAAAUUGAAUCAGAUGAACAACAGUUGCCCUUAUCAUCACCAAAUAGUAGUGGUUUACUCAAGCAACUAAUGAUAUCAUUGACUGUACAAAUGAUUAAUAGUGAAUAUGAGGUGAUU
Amphimedon queenslandica is the source of this 193-nucleotide long non-coding RNA. RefSeq lists it as uncharacterized. The record is from RefSeq and is a predicted model, not a curated record. The transcript has 3 exons. Lineage: Eukaryota; Metazoa; Porifera; Demospongiae; Haplosclerida; Niphatidae.